UGUCUUAGGAUGAAAAGAAUGCUUUAUAUAAUGGCCAAAUGAAGCAGUACUUCGUGUCUCCAUCACACUCCCAUCUUCCCUGCACUCAGUCCCCUCACCCAAAGAGAAAGAAAACACUUUGAAUGUCAUUUCAGGAAGAGGUAUGCUGUGUCUCUUCCUCCCUUGCUUCGGUGGGGAGAUGCAGGUCGGAGAGGUGUGGGUGCUAGAGGCAGACCACAGCAGAUCCUGGGGAACUACUCCUCCCUGCAUGCCAUCCUCGCAGCUCUGCAGAGUGUCUCCAUUCACCACCUGAACAGGACAUGGGAGAAAGUUUAAAGAUAAAGAAACUGAGGCCAAGCAAGGGCACCUAUGGAACAAUAACCAUGCUGAGGUUCUCCUGACACCUGCUUCAGGAUCCUAACUCACUGAACAAGAGUGAAGAAUCCCAUCCCGGGCGCCUGGGUGGCUCAGUGGGUUAAGCCGCUGCCUUCAGCUCAGGUCAUGAUCUCAGGGUCCUGGGAUCAAGUCCCACAUUGGGCUCUCUACUCAGCAGGGAGCCUGCUUCCCUCUCUCUCUCUCUCUCUCUGCCUGCCUCUCCAUCUGCUUUUGAUUUCUCUCUGUCAAAUAAAUAAAUAAAAAAUCUUAAAAAAAAAAAAAAAAAGAAUCCCGUCCCUUCAGGGCAAAUGGACACCUCACUGGAAUGGGUCAUUUUUCGGGAAAAGUGAAAUUCAGUCAAACAUGGAAUGGUAUAAAAAUAACAUCAUUUAAAGAAAAUCCACUAUGAUACACUACACUGUUUCUUAGGUUCCAUAUAGGAAUGAAGCCAUAUGAUAAUCGUAGAGGAAGGGAGGAAAAACUA
Molecule: long non-coding RNA, 838 nt
Organism: Mustela lutreola (European mink)
Lineage: Eukaryota; Metazoa; Chordata; Mammalia; Carnivora; Mustelidae
Exons: 3
Source: RefSeq, a predicted model, not a curated record